AGAGCCUGAAAGGAAAGAAGUAAAAAUACAAGUAUCUUAGUCUCCUGAGGGUUCAGAUUUGCAUAUUGGACAAUAAUACUGUACUUGUGGGAGAUGCAUAUCUAUACCUCUGUGUCAACAAUUGCAAUAUAAACCCCCAUGUUCUUCAAACAGUAAAGGCAGAAACAGGAAAUUCAAAAAAAAGAAAAAAAAGAAAAAAAAAAAGAAAAUCCUAAUUAUAAAUACUUUUUGUAGGGUAGAUUUAUCAUUAUCUCUCUCGUAUCUUGAAGAUAACCAGAACACAAAGGAAUGAAGGGAAUUGCCUAUGGAUACAGGCAGGACAUCUGGACAAAAAGGAAGGAAACCAAGCCAGGCUGCACUCUGGUGAGAUUUACCCUGCCGUAGAUCCUGCUACAAGUUGGCCCUGCAGCACCAAGUCUCUAAACCCUUUGCCCCCUUCACUGUCUUCUAGCUGACGGUACUUAUUUCAAAACAUAUAAGGGAUGUGCACGUCUGAUGGGUGCGGUGUUUAUUUGGGGCUAUUCAGAAAGCACAGGCACUCUGCAAAGUGUCAUUGGAAAAAUAUGGCAUGCAAAUGCAGGCAGGCUAUCACUUGCCCCAGAGUCAGCAUCACCUGCUUUGCACUUAACCUCGCUAACCUGAAACGGGCCCUCUCGUGACACCUAGCUUGCCCUUCCCUGCCAUUAGGCAGAUGGCCCCAGCUGUACAAAAUGUAGCCCUGCCUAUAUUUAUUGGUGGGUGGUUGCCCUACCUUUGUUUCCCACCUGCAGCGCUUAUUGCUCCUUUCACCAGCUCUUCCACUACAGCUUCCCUUGUCACAGAUCAAUUCCUGAAUGUGGUGACAGUCUGGCCCACAAGCUACACAGCCCAUGGAGCUAAAGGACAUGGGGACAGCCAGCACUGCUGAGGCGAGGUAUCCACUUGGAAAACAGGGCCCUACCUUACAUUGCUGAUCAGGCUGGGUUUCUUGUGCUACCUUCCACUCCUGCACCUCGAAAGCAGCUCUGGUCCUGCAGGAGCGGCUGUCCCAGCUCUCCUGGAAGACAAGGCAGGCUCUUCUGCUGGACUGUGCCCUGCAAGCAAGGAGACAGAAAACACUAUGAAAUCAGGGUGGAAGCAGCGUGGAAAAGAGAACCUGGAACAGCAGGACUUUACCACAUUUUUGUCUCCAGGUUUUGUCAUUGCCACUUGACGCAGAGCAGAAAAUACCACCUCUUUAGAACCGGUGACUAGCUACAAUUUAUUGGGACUGGGCUGUUGCUAAACACACGGAGUAGCAAUGUGUUAACACAUUUUAAAAGGCUGUUUGAUCACCAUGGGAUUCCAGAUGAGCUAACAACAGAAAAUAAGCCGUGAUUCACAAAUGACUCAUUUCAGCAUUUCUCUUUGAUGCAGCAGUUCAAGCAAGCCCUGUCUGUGCACAUUCAAAUGAGCGCACUGAAUAGUCAUUGAGCCCGGCAAUGCCAUGCUUACAAAGUCGUUUUCACACAGUUUAAGUAUAGUUUUAAGUAUAAAAUUGGGCAAUUUCUAGCAAGCCGUGACAACGUGAUUCUUACUCACUCCAGCCGGUAACUUUUGCUCCGUUUAAAGUACAAUAUAAAUACUAAUAUUUCCGUGAUCGAGGGGAGAGGGUGGUCCUGAGAAAUCACCGCGCCGCGAGGGGAUGCGCCUCCCGCCGGCUCGAGGCCACGGCAGCCCCGGCUCUGCGGCGCUCGGCCCCGCUGCCGGCCUCCUCUUUUCGCUCCCACUUCUCCCAACAGCAGCAAAACCCGGUGCAUGUUUUGGCCAACAUUGCCAUCCAGUGGCACAGGGGAUAAAUGACAGCGGAGAGACAGCGCCGGCUUGAGGGUGUGGGGGGUGAACUGCAGCAGAUCGCCGCUGCACGGUUUAGACUAAAUUUGGACGGCUGCACCUCUUUACUGGCAGCUUGCAAGAAGCGGCUGUUAAUCGGGGUGCCGUGGGGAAAAAAGAUGGUGAGCGUGUCACCUCAGCACGAGGUGCUGUGCUGGUACCCGGCCCAUCUAGAGGGUGGCUGCCAGCGGAUCCUAAAUCCUGCUUUUAUGGGGAGGGUGUGCUUUUGGUUGGUUGGUUUUCCUGGGAUAACUCCAUGGUGCUUUAGUAGGCAGAAGCUUGUUUUAUUAUUGCUUUACAGAUUAGAGUGACUAAGUUGCAAUAUAGAAGGUCUCUAAUUCAUUCAUCUUUUUUUUUUUUUUUUUUCUGAGAUGCUUCUAGUCAGGAUGCUCUUAAGAACCUCAAGUGAUCCAAAACUAUUGGAGAAAAAUAUACAAAAACAUAGAUUUUCCUUUCUAGAAAACUUUAAGUUCUAGGCUUUGGAACGUACCUGCUAUUCAUGCCUUGGCCACAGUGUUCACACAUUCUUGUGAUCACACAUUCAGUGAUCACACAUUCUUGUCUGAUCAUCUGAAUUAUCCGGGUCCCUCUCCUAGCCCAAAUAAGCCAAUAAGAGUCAUUUUUCAAGGCAAUUAGCGGGGAAAAAAAUCUGCCGGGGUGAAGUGGUUGCAUAAAAGGAAUGAAAAGGACCUUUCCUUUCUGCUGAAGCUGGGUUUCUGCAGACAGGACAGCAUGUGGGUUAGUUUGUGAGCCCCCAAAGAGCCACUGGCCCUGCAUGGUGAGGCAGGUCUUGCUGCCACAGCUGAAAUUCCCACAGCAAGACAGGAGGUUCUGGCCAGUGAAUACCCAAGACAGUGUGGGAACAGCGUGGUGGCCUGUGAUGGUUUUGCUACAAAGACCUGAUGCAUGACCUGUAUCUACACAACUGCAACCAGGAUGAAACCUGGUGUCCCCGUGGAGGCAGCCAGCUCCCGGUAAAAAGAGAAGCUAGAGUGUCUCCAGCCACAGCUCCUCAACUGGCCACCGAGUCUUCCUCUGAAAGACAUUAGUGGGAUGACAGCAGGGCUGACGUUAACAAAGGAGGUGUGCUGUUAGGCCCGAUGGAAAUGGCAUGUAAAACGCCACACAUUUUGUGCUGUACACACACAGCGGCAUCACCAGAGCUCAGUCCCCAAGCAGGCUGGAUAUUAAAUUGAUCAAACUGGUAAUGAAAGUGGGAAUUACUCCAUCUCAGCCGACACAAGGCAGGUGACCUUAUUAAAAAAUAUGCCAGUGUACUUAAUGGGGUAGGGCAGUUUCUUGGGGAAUUCAUGAUUAAUGGGGCUAUAACUCUAGAGAUCCCACAGCUAAGGCCCCUGGAAAAAGUCUUACUUCCACUGUGAGAUGGCCUGGCUGAAAUUUUUGAGGUGGGUCUGUCUAAAUGCUGGAUCCAGCCUCUGUUUUCUGACAGAGAAGCCAAGACACUCCACAAGUGCUGAGCUGGUGAGGGAACAAGGCGGCCUCAUGCUGGAAGUGGCGAGCUUGGCACAUAAGGAAGCUCAGAGCCGGCUGCUGAUGUGCCUCCUUGUCCUGCUCAGGCUAACCACUGGCAGCAACUCCAACACCCUCACUGUUUAGUCAUCAUGAGAACAGCAGAAGCCACCAUCUGAGAUGCUGUGUGCAAUGUCCCGAGCAAGACCUGACACGCAGAAACCUCAGUAUCCGCUGGUACCUGCAGCCUGGGACAGGGCAUGUGCAACUCUCCCAAGGCAUAUGCAUGGAUGUGGAAAAGGACUGGAGAGUAAGAAAAGCAGCAGUUGGCUGUCCUGGGUCAUAACGCCCAGCCCUUUCUGCACUUUCUUUGCAAAUAAAAAGGAUUAGAGCAAAAAACUAACCCAAGUAUGGGCUAGAGGUUCAGGCCAAGGAGCAUUCACAAUGUGAGCAACAGGCUAGAAACUGGAAGUAGUCAGCAAGAGAAACUGAGCCAAAGUGGACAAAAGAAGCAAAGACACUUGGAGAAUUUUGAGACUGCAGAGUGGAAUUAAAUUUUAAGACAGGAUCCAGGCAUGCUGAAAAAGGAAUAUCCAAGAAAUUACAGGAAAAAAAAAAAAAAAAAAAAAAAAAAAAAAAAAAAAAAA
Anas platyrhynchos (mallard) is the source of this 3968-nucleotide long non-coding RNA. RefSeq lists it as uncharacterized. The record is from RefSeq and is a predicted model, not a curated record. NCBI's taxonomy places the organism in Eukaryota, Metazoa, Chordata, Aves, Anseriformes, Anatidae.